RNAcentral lists this ribosomal RNA (707 nucleotides) under Nocardia sp. Sp080513KE-20. Its description in RNAcentral is "bacterial SSU rRNA". It matches the Rfam family "Bacterial small subunit ribosomal RNA", at positions 45 to 769 of the family's 1533-position model. Lineage: Bacteria; Bacillati; Actinomycetota; Actinomycetes; Mycobacteriales; Nocardiaceae. The record is from RNAcentral.
UGCUUAACACAUGCAAGUCGAGCGGUAAGGCCCUUCGGGGUACACGAGCGGCGAACGGGUGAGUAACACGUGGGUGAUCUGCCUUGCACUCUGGGAUAAGCCUGGGAAACUGGGUCUAAUACCGGAUAUGACCUUUGGUUGCAUGAUCAGGGGUGGAAAGAUUUAUCGGUGCAAGAUGAGCCCGCGGCCUAUCAGCUUGUUGGUGGGGUAAUGGCCUACCAAGGCGACGACGGGUAGCCGGCCUGAGAGGGCGACCGGCCACACUGGGACUGAGACACGGCCCAGACUCCUACGGGAGGCAGCAGUGGGGAAUAUUGCACAAUGGGCGGAAGCCUGAUGCAGCGACGCCGCGUGAGGGAUGACGGCCUUCGGGUUGUAAACCUCUUUCGACUCCGACGAAGCGAAAGUGACGGUAGGAGUAUAAGAAGCACCGGCCAACUACGUGCCAGCAGCCGCGGUAAUACGUAGGGUGCGAGCGUUGUCCGGAAUUACUGGGCGUAAAGAGCUUGUAGGCGGCUUGUCGCGUCGAUCGUGAAAACUCGGGGCUCAACCCCGAGCUUGCGGUCGAUACGGGCAGGCUUGAGUACUUCAGGGGAGACUGGAAUUCCUGGUGUAGCGGUGAAAUGCGCAGAUAUCAGGAGGAACACCGGUGGCGAAGGCGGGUCUCUGGGAAGUAACUGACGCUGAGAAGCGAAAGCGUGGGUAGC